AACGGCAAAGAGUGCUUGCACACUUUGGACGUCGACCGGCGCACGGGUGAGUAACGCGUAUCCAACCUGCCCUUUACUUGGGGAUAACCCGUUGAAAGACGGACUAAUACCCAAUGAUAUUCAUUGAUGACAUCUGACAUGAAUUAAAGAUUUAUCGGUGUAGGAUGGGGAUGCGUCUGAUUAGCUUGUUGGUGAGGUAACGGCUCACCAAGGCCACGAUCAGUAGGGGUUCUGAGAGGAAGGUCCCCCACAUUGGAACUGAGACACGGUCCAAACUCCUACGGGAGGCAGCAGUGAGGAAUAUUGGUCAAUGGACGAGAGUCUGAACCAGCCAAGUAGCGUGCAGGAUGACGGCCCUAUGGGUUGUAAACUGCUUUUGUUUGGGAAUAAUCGACAUUACGUGUAAUGUUUUGCAUGUACCAUUCGAAUAAGGACCGGCUAAUUCCGUGCCAGCAGCCGCGGUAAUACGGAAGGUCCAGGCGUUAUCCGGAUUUAUUGGGUUUAAAGGGAGUGUAGGCGGUUGGUUAAGCGUGUUGUGAAAUGUAGAUGCUCAACAUCUGACUUGCAGCGCGAACUGGCUGACUUGAGUAC
Molecule: ribosomal RNA, 591 nt
Filed under: uncultured bacterium
Lineage: Bacteria
Description: bacterial SSU rRNA
Rfam family: Bacterial small subunit ribosomal RNA
Source: RNAcentral